This 494-nucleotide ribosomal RNA is filed under the name uncultured bacterium. RNAcentral's name for it is "partial 16S ribosomal RNA". It matches the Rfam family "Bacterial small subunit ribosomal RNA", at positions 28 to 507 of the family's 1533-position model. The record is from RNAcentral.
GACGAACGCUGGCGGCGUGCUUAACACAUGCAAGUCGAACGGUGAAGCGCCUUCCUUUUUUGUGGGUGUGGAUGAGUGGCGAACGGGUGAGUAACACGUGAGUAACCUGCCCCCUUCUUCUGGAUAACCGCAUGAAAGUGUGGCUAAUACGGGAUAUUCUGGGUCUGUCGCAUGAUGGGUCUGGGAAAGAUAUUGUUUCGGUGGGGGAUGGGCUCGCGGCCUAUCAGCUUGUUGGUGGGGUGAUGGCCUACCAAGGCGGUGACGGGUAGCCGGCCUGAGAGGGUGGACGGUCACACUGGGACUGAGACACGGCCCAGACUCCUACGGGAGGCAGCAGUGGGGAAUAUUGCACAAUGGGCGCAAGCCUGAUGCAGCGACGCCGCGUGAGGGAUGGAGGCCUUCGGGUUGUGAACCUCUUUCGCCAGUGAAGCAGGCCUGCCUCGUUUGUGGGUGGGUUGACGGUAGCUGGAGAAGAAGCGCCGGCCAACUACGUG